This 493-nucleotide ribosomal RNA is filed under the name uncultured bacterium. Its description in RNAcentral is "partial 16S ribosomal RNA". It matches the Rfam family "Bacterial small subunit ribosomal RNA", at positions 29 to 523 of the family's 1533-position model. The record is from RNAcentral.
AUUGAACGCUGGCGGCAUGCUUUACACAUGCAAGUCGAACGGUAACAGGUUAAGCUGACGAGUGGCGAACGGGUGAGUAAUGCAUCGGAACGUGCCCGAUCGUGGGGGAUAACGCAGCGAAAGCUGCGCUAAUACCGCAUACGAUCUGAGGAUGAAAGCGGGGGACCGUAAGGCCACGCGCGAUCGGAGCGGCCGAUGUCAGAUUAGGUAGUUGGUGGGGUAAAGGCCCACCAAGCCGACGAUCUGUAGCUGGUCUGAGAGGACGACCAGCCACACUGGGACUGAGACACGGCCCAGACUCCUACGGGAGGCAGCAGUGGGGAAUUUUGGACAAUGGGCGAAAGCCUGAUCCAGCAAUGCCGCGUGCAGGAAGAAGGCCUUCGGGUUGUAAACUGCUUUUGUACGGAGCGAAAAGGUCCUUUCUAAUACAGGGGGCUCAUGACGGUACCGUAAGAAUAAGCACCGGCUAACUACGUGCCAGCCGCCGCCGUAA